Molecule: long non-coding RNA, 641 nt
Filed under: Homo sapiens (human)
Lineage: Eukaryota; Metazoa; Chordata; Mammalia; Primates; Hominidae
Source: RNAcentral
GUGCGCGGACCGACACUGUCAGCUCCUAACGCCGCAGGUUCCUCCUGGUCCCCGAGGCCCCCGGUCGGGCGUUGCCUGCCCCGCGCGGGCGGCCGGGCCGAGGGACGAUGGUCAGUGGACGGACGGCGCCAGGGAGCAGUGCCCACGCGCGGCAGGGCGGUACCUUCAGGCCUCCAGGACUGGCUCUCCUGACCUCUCCAGGUGUCAUCGAACACCCUUGUGCUUGCUGUCACCCGCUGCCUGUCUGCAGGAUCCCGGAUUCCGUAUCAGGGGACCGAAAUUAGUCGGAAAAUAGGAAGCAGGUGCUCGCUUGGAUGGAACCCUGACCCUGUGCUCACACUUGUAGGAGGAGGGCUCUGCAGGCCGCCUCCCGGAACGGGAGGUUCCCAAGCCACUGCACUUCGGAGGGGCUGUAAUUAGAGUUGCACAUUCAUUCAGUUCCCAGUAAAGUAGAACGUGCUCCAGCCAGUGAGGAAAAGGUGUUUUUAAAAAUUAGAUUGGCCGAGUGCGGUGGCUCAUGCCUUUUACCUCAACACUUUGGGAGACAAAGGUGGGAGGAUCACCUGUGGCCAGGAGUUCAAGACCAGCCUGGGCAACAGAGCCUGUCUCUGGGGAAGAAUAAAAAAAAAAAUUGAGCCUUU